RNAcentral lists this transfer RNA (72 nucleotides) under Thermoplasmata archaeon M8B2D. RNAcentral's name for it is "tRNA-Thr". It matches the Rfam family "tRNA". Rfam says of the family: Transfer RNA (tRNA) molecules are approximately 80 nucleotides in length. Their secondary structure includes four short double-helical elements and three loops (D, anti-codon, and T loops). Lineage: Archaea; Methanobacteriati; Thermoplasmatota; Thermoplasmata. The record is from RNAcentral.
GCCUGUGUAGCUCAGUGGUAGAGCACUUGAUUCGUAAUCAAGGGGUCGGGGGUUCAAAUCCCUUCACAGGCU